RNAcentral lists this ribosomal RNA (253 nucleotides) under uncultured bacterium. Its description in RNAcentral is "partial 16S ribosomal RNA". It matches the Rfam family "Bacterial small subunit ribosomal RNA", at positions 524 to 776 of the family's 1533-position model. The record is from RNAcentral.
UACGUAGGGGGCAAGCGUUGUCCGGAUUUAUUGGGCGUAAAGAGCGUGUAGGCGGCCAGACAGGUCAGCUGUGAAAACUCGAGGCUCAACCUCGAGACGUCGGUUGAAACCGUCUGGCUAGAGUCCGGAAGAGGAGAGUGGAAUUCCCGGUGUAGCGGUGGAAUGCGCAGAUAUCAGGAGGAACACCAAUAGCGAAGGCAGCUCGCUGGGACGGUACUGACGCUAAGGCGCGAAAGCGUGGGGAGCGAACAGG